UGCACAGGAGCAGCUUAUUGU
This 21-nucleotide non-coding RNA is filed under the name Caenorhabditis elegans. Lineage: Eukaryota; Metazoa; Nematoda; Chromadorea; Rhabditida; Rhabditidae. The record is from RNAcentral.